RNAcentral lists this non-coding RNA (96 nucleotides) under Candidatus Zhuqueibacterota. RNAcentral describes it as "Candidate division SAM-I sequence". It matches the Rfam family "SAM riboswitch aptamer (S box leader)". From Rfam's summary of the family: The SAM riboswitch is found upstream of a number of genes which code for proteins involved in methionine or cysteine biosynthesis in Gram-positive bacteria. The SAM riboswitch acts at the level of transcription termination control. The record is from RNAcentral. Lineage: Bacteria; Pseudomonadati.
UUCUCAUCAAGAGAGGUGGAGGGACGGGCCCUGUGAAACCUCGGCAACCCGCCUUGGGCGGGUGCCAACUCCCGCCCGCAAAGGGAUAGAUGAGUG